RNAcentral lists this ribosomal RNA (308 nucleotides) under uncultured eukaryote. Its description in RNAcentral is "partial 18S ribosomal RNA". It matches the Rfam family "Eukaryotic small subunit ribosomal RNA", at positions 1470 to 1796 of the family's 1831-position model. The record is from RNAcentral.
CCCUUAGAUGUUCUGGGCCGCACGCGUGCUACACUGAGUAAUUCAAUGGGUAAGGGAACGCUAGAGCAUUACCUAAUCUUGAAAUUUGCUCGUGAUGGGGAUCGACGGUUGCAAUUUUCCGUCGUGAACGAGGAAUACCUUGUAGGCGCAUGUCAUCAUCAUGCGCCGAAUACGUCCCUGCCCUUUGUACACACCGCCCGUCGCUCCUACCGAUGAAUCGUCCGGUGAAGUUCAUGGAGGGGCGGUUGUUUCAACUGCCGUUGAAGUGAAAUGGACCUCACGAUUUAGAGGAAGGAGAAGUCGUAACA